RNAcentral lists this microRNA (22 nucleotides) under Pteropus alecto (black flying fox). RNAcentral's name for it is "pal-miR-10002-3p". The record is from miRBase by way of RNAcentral. Lineage: Eukaryota; Metazoa; Chordata; Mammalia; Chiroptera; Pteropodidae.
UGACGGCAACUGCAGAAGAUAA